AGUGAACGCUGGCGGUAGGCCUAACACAUGCAAGUCGAGCGGCAGCACAGUAAGAGCUUGCUCUUACGGGUGGCGAGUGGCGGACGGGUGAGGAAUACAUCGGAAUCUACUUUUUCGUGGGGGAUAACGUAGGGAAACUUACGCUAAUACCGCAUACGACCUACGGGUGAAAGCAGGGGAUCUUCGGACCUUACGCGAUUGAAUGAGCCGAUGUCGGAUUAGCUAGUUGGCGGGGUAAAGGCCCACCAAGGCGACGAUCCGUAGCUGGUCUGAGAGGAUGAUCAGCCACACUGGAACUGAGACACGGUCCAGACUCCUACGGGAGGCAGCAGUGGGGAAUAUUGGACAAUGGGCGCAAGCCUGAUCCAGCCAUACCGCGUGGGUGAAGAAGGCCUUCGGGUUGUAAAGCCCUUUUGUUGGGAAAGAAAAGCAGCAGGUUAAUACCCCGCUGUUCUGACGGUACCCAAAGAAUAAGCACCGGCUAACUUCGUG
This 492-nucleotide ribosomal RNA is filed under the name uncultured bacterium. RNAcentral's name for it is "partial 16S ribosomal RNA". It matches the Rfam family "Bacterial small subunit ribosomal RNA", at positions 29 to 507 of the family's 1533-position model. The record is from RNAcentral.